RNAcentral lists this ribosomal RNA (253 nucleotides) under uncultured bacterium. RNAcentral's name for it is "partial 16S ribosomal RNA". It matches the Rfam family "Bacterial small subunit ribosomal RNA", at positions 524 to 776 of the family's 1533-position model. The record is from RNAcentral.
UACGUAGGGGGCAAGCGUUGUCCGGAUUUAUUGGGCGUAAAGAGCGUGUAGGCGGCCAUGCAGGUCAGCUGUGAAAACUCGAGGCUCAACCUCGAGACGUCGGUUGAAACCGCAUGGCUAGAGUCCGGAAGAGGAGAGUGGAAUUCCCGGUGUAGCGGUGAAAUGCGCAGAUAUCGGGAAGAACACCUAUGGCGAAGGCAGCUCUCUGGGACGGUACUGACGCUGAGACGCGAAAGCGUGGGGAGCAAACAGG